This 244-nucleotide long non-coding RNA is filed under the name Gossypium raimondii (Peruvian cotton). Its description in RNAcentral is "long non-coding RNA (GRAI_LNC001452)". Lineage: Eukaryota; Viridiplantae; Streptophyta; Magnoliopsida; Malvales; Malvaceae. The record is from RNAcentral.
GUAGUGUAUCAAACAAAUAUAAUUUGAUCAUAGAUAAAUAGAUUCAAUUAUCCUCGUUUGGCACUUCACUUCAUUCAAAUAAUGGGUUCUUUCUUUGAAUUUGUUAUGAUACAAUAAUUUUUUUUUAUUGUAAUUGUAUUGAAACAAAAAAAAUGGAUAACAAUGGAGUGAAUAAGACAGGAGGCGGUCCGCAAAUUUUCACUUAUUCUAUUUCUAUUUCUAUGGUUUUAUUUGAGAAUUUCGU